UGGGGAAUCUUGCGCAAUGGGCGAAAGCCUGACGCAGCAACGCCGCGUGCGGGAUGAAGGCCCUCGGGUCGUAAACCGCUUUCAGCAGGGAUGAAACUGACAGUACCUGCAGAAGAAGCCCCGGCUAACUACGUGCCAGCAGCCGCGGUAAUACGUAGGGGGCAAGCGUUAUCCGGAUUCAUUGGGCGUAAAGAGCGCGUAGGCGGCUUGUUUAGUCAGAUGUGAAAACCGGGGGCUCAACCCGCGGCCUGCAUCUGAAACUGACAGGCUUGAGUCUGGUAGAGGAAAGUGGAAUUCCUGGUGUAGCGGUGAAAUGCGCAGAUAUCAGGAGGAACACCAGUGGCGAAGGCGGCUUUCUGGGCCACGACUGACGCUGAGGCGCGAAAGCUAGGGGAGCGAACA
RNAcentral lists this ribosomal RNA (402 nucleotides) under uncultured bacterium. RNAcentral's name for it is "bacterial SSU rRNA". It matches the Rfam family "Bacterial small subunit ribosomal RNA", at positions 355 to 774 of the family's 1533-position model. The record is from RNAcentral.